GGCAAGGAGAUCGCCUACUUCGUGAAGAUCUACCGUGAGUAAGGCUAGUCCUCCGUGGACGAAAGCCGUGGUGGGAUAGACAAGGCCGCUUCUUUGUGGACCCUCUGUGGGUGGAGCCCUCCAUGGACUCUCGCAGUCGUUACCCUCUGUGGGUUGAAGUCUCCACUAACAUGGACGUACGACAGCGCCACCUAUCGGAACCAUGGCAAAAAUCACCGUCUCCACCUCA
This 229-nucleotide long non-coding RNA is filed under the name Hordeum vulgare. Its description in RNAcentral is "long non-coding RNA (HVUL_LNC012438)". Lineage: Eukaryota; Viridiplantae; Streptophyta; Magnoliopsida; Poales; Poaceae. The record is from RNAcentral.